GGAAUCUUCCACAAUGGGCGCAAGCCUGAUGGAGCAACACCGCGUGAGUGAAGAAGGGUUUCGGCUCGUAAAGCUCUGUUGUUAGAGAAGAACGUGCGUGAGAGCAACUGUUCACGCAGUGACGGUAUCUAACCAGAAAGUCACGGCUAACUACGUGCCAGCAGCCGCGGUAAUACGGAAGGUCCGGGCGUUAUCCGGAUUUAUUGGGCGUAAAGCGAGCGCAGGCGGUUUCUUAAGUCUGAUGUGAAAGCCUUCGGCUUAACCGAAGAAGUGCAUCGGAAACUGGGAAACUUGAGUGCAGAAGAGGACAGUGGAACUCCAUGUGUAGCGGUGAAAUGCGUAGAUAUAUGGAAGAACACCAGUGGCGAAGGCGGCUGUCUGGUCUGUAACUGACGCUGAGGCUCGAAAGCAUGGGUAGCGAACA
Molecule: ribosomal RNA, 424 nt
Filed under: uncultured Lactobacillus sp.
Lineage: Bacteria; Bacillati; Bacillota; Bacilli; Lactobacillales; Lactobacillaceae
Description: bacterial SSU rRNA
Rfam family: Bacterial small subunit ribosomal RNA
Source: RNAcentral